GACGAACGCUGGCGGCGUGCCUAACACAUGCAAGUCGAACGAGACCUCCGGUUCUAGUGUCGCGCGGGUGGGUAACGGGCGGAAAGCUGACCAUAGGGUCGGUAUCAUUCCCCGAACGGGGUGCUAAUAGCGUAUAAUUUCUUCGGACCAAGGAUUUAUCGCCUUUGGAUGUGGCCGCGUUGGAUUAGGUAGUUGGUAUGGUAAGAGCCUGCCAAGGCGCCGAUCCGUAGCUGGUUGGGGUGGAGGCACAGCCAAACCGGGACUGAGACACGGCCGUGACGAAUACGGGAGGAAGCGGGGGAGAAUAUUGGACAAAGGGCGAAUGCCUGAUCCAGCAAUGCGGGGUGAGAGAUGAAUGCCUCAGUGAUGUAAACCUCUUUUGUCCGUGAGUAUAUUGACAGUACCGGGAGAAUAAGCGCCGGCUAACUCCGUG
This 433-nucleotide ribosomal RNA is filed under the name uncultured bacterium. RNAcentral describes it as "partial 16S ribosomal RNA". It matches the Rfam family "Bacterial small subunit ribosomal RNA", at positions 28 to 507 of the family's 1533-position model. The record is from RNAcentral.